RNAcentral lists this transfer RNA (77 nucleotides) under Clostridia bacterium. Its description in RNAcentral is "tRNA-Arg". It matches the Rfam family "tRNA". Rfam says of the family: Transfer RNA (tRNA) molecules are approximately 80 nucleotides in length. Their secondary structure includes four short double-helical elements and three loops (D, anti-codon, and T loops). Further hydrogen bonds mediate the characteristic L-shaped molecular structure. tRNAs have two regions of fundamental functional importance: the anti-codon, which is responsible for specific mRNA codon recognition, and the 3' end, to which the tRNAs corresponding amino acid is attached (by aminoacyl-tRNA synthetases). tRNAs cope with the degeneracy of the genetic code in two manners: having more than one tRNA (with a specific anti-codon) for a particular amino acid; and 'wobble' base-pairing, i.e. permitting non-standard base-pairing at the 3rd anti-codon position. Lineage: Bacteria; Bacillati; Bacillota; Clostridia. RNAcentral also lists the same sequence under 1 other name. The record is from RNAcentral.
CUACCCGUGGCACAGCUGGAUAGCGCAUCAGACUCCGACUCUGAAGGUCAUGAGUUCGAAUCUCAUCGGGUAGGCCA